This is a long non-coding RNA of Macaca mulatta (Rhesus monkey), 1147 nucleotides long. RefSeq lists it as uncharacterized. Lineage: Eukaryota; Metazoa; Chordata; Mammalia; Primates; Cercopithecidae. The record is from RefSeq and is a predicted model, not a curated record.
UUUUCCACUCCUGACUGGGAAAAAGGUUCUCCUGAAACAGCUGAGCCGAACGACUUGCCUUAUGGAGAAUUAAGGAGCAGCACGCAUGCACGCACACAUAAGCAGCCAUUUCUAUAAAUGCCUGAGAAAAAUCACUCAGCCGAAUGGCCCAGAACGCUGGAAACCCUAUUCCUGAGUCGGACAGACUCUGGCAGCUCACAGAGGCACUGCAGGCCUCCCUGGCUGCACGACUGGGCAGCGCCCUGAAGGAGAAAAUGUCUUUGCUCAAGGUGGCAGUGGGUGCCGAUGGGAACAACCGAACUCGGGGAACAUGGCUGACACAGCCAGGCCCGCCCAGCAGCUGUUGGCCCAAGACCUCAUCUUAAAAGUAUCGAAGUAUUACACCAAAAAAUGACAACACUUUUCCAACUAACUCCAACAAUACCCCCUCAAACACGGUGUCACAGGACAGAAGCAAAAGGCUUAUCUGAGAGGACCAAGCCCCGCUACCUCGUCUGAAUAGCGUUUGUGAGAGAAGCGUUCGGAAGAUGGUCAGACAGCAUAUCCAAAUGUGAAUGCUUUCCAACUUUCACCGUGCAUGUUAGACACAACCAAGAGAACUGGAUGACCCAGGUCCCUGCAAGUCUCCAACGCCCAUUUUAAAAGGCAGAUAGAUGUCUUUCUGGCCACAUUCUUGUCCGGCCCUUCCUCUCAUCCUCCCUGGGAGGAACUAUUCCCUGAGGCCUCCAGAACCGCCCAGCAUUCAUUACCAAGGUUGACCUCCGGCAAGGACCACACCUCCCUGCAAACCGCCUGAUUCAGGGGUGGAGGGUGCGACCUAAGUCACAUGGCCAAAAAAAAAAAAAAAAAAAAAAAAAAAACUCAGCUCUGAAAUCUGGCUCAUUAGGAAGGCUAAUGAGUGAAGUUAACCACCAUUACUUGAUCAAACUCCUCUGCUGCCUGAAGCAGGGUUAUUUUAAACCUCUCGGGGGACUCCUGGCCAAAUUUAAAACCACCUUGGCAAGCCCAGAAAAGUAGCAGGCAUCCAGCUAAAUGAGUCCUUAGUCAUCCCUAAAAGGCUCGAAGUAAAGUGCGCCGCGUCCCCCCUCGGUUUCAACCACUUCUCUGCAACCCGACAAGGGAAUUAAAUAAAAGAUACGCCAUCUGA